GUGCUCGCUUCAGCAGCACAUAUACUAAAAUUGGAACGAUAUAGAGAAGAUUAGCAUGGCCUCUGUGCAAGGAUGACCAAAAAAAAAAUCAGAGGGAAAAUUAUUCC
This 107-nucleotide small nuclear RNA is filed under the name Salvator merianae (Argentine black and white tegu). Lineage: Eukaryota; Metazoa; Chordata; Lepidosauria; Squamata; Teiidae. The record is from RNAcentral.